UCUUCGGGGGUAGAGCACUGUUUCGGCUAGGGGGUCAUCCCGACUUACCAACCCGAUGCAAACUACGAAUACCGAAGAAUGUUAUCACGGGAGACACACGGCGGGUGCUAACGUCCGUCGUGAAGAGGGAAACAACCCAGACCGCCAGCUAAGGUCCCAAAGUCAUGGUUAAGUGGGAAACGAUGUGGGAAGGCACAGACAGCCAGGAUGUUGGCUUAGAAGCAGCCAUCAUUUAAAGAA
RNAcentral lists this ribosomal RNA (240 nucleotides) under Acinetobacter baumannii. Its description in RNAcentral is "partial 23S ribosomal RNA". It matches the Rfam family "Bacterial large subunit ribosomal RNA", at positions 893 to 1130 of the family's 2925-position model. The record is from RNAcentral. Lineage: Bacteria; Pseudomonadati; Pseudomonadota; Gammaproteobacteria; Moraxellales; Moraxellaceae.